AUGAACGCUGGCGGCGUGCCUAAUACAUGCACGUCGAGCGAACAGACGAGGAGCUUGCUCCUCUGACGUUAGCGGCGGACGGGUGAGUAACACGUGGAUAACCUACCUAUAAGACUGGGAUAACUUCGGGAAACCGGAGCUAAUACCGGAUAAUAUAUUGAACCGCAUGGUUCAAUAGUGAAAGACGGUUUUGCUGUCACUUAUAGAUGGAUCCGCGCCGCAUUAGCUAGUUGGUAAGGUAACGGCUUACCAAGGCAACGAUGCGUAGCCGACCUGAGAGGGUGAUCGGCCACACUGGAACUGAGACACGGUCCAGACUCCUACGGGAGGCAGCAGUAGGGAAUCUUCCGCAAUGGGCGAAAGCCUGACGGAGCAACGCCGCGUGAGUGAUGAAGGUCUUCGGAUCGUAAAACUCUGUUAUUAGGGAAGAACAAAUGUGUAAGUAACUAUGCACGUCUUGACGGUACCUAAUCAGAAAGCCACGGCUAACUA
This 492-nucleotide ribosomal RNA is filed under the name uncultured bacterium. Its description in RNAcentral is "partial 16S ribosomal RNA". It matches the Rfam family "Bacterial small subunit ribosomal RNA", at positions 29 to 503 of the family's 1533-position model. The record is from RNAcentral.